RNAcentral lists this ribosomal RNA (429 nucleotides) under Actinomycetes bacterium. RNAcentral's name for it is "Actinobacteria bacterium partial 16S ribosomal RNA". It matches the Rfam family "Bacterial small subunit ribosomal RNA", at positions 355 to 776 of the family's 1533-position model. Lineage: Bacteria; Bacillati; Actinomycetota; Actinomycetes. The record is from RNAcentral.
UAGGGAAUCUUCCGCAAUGGGCGAAAGCCUGACGGAGCAACGCCGCGUGAGUGAUGAAGGUCUUCGGAUCGUAAAACUCUGUUAUUAGGGAAGAACAAAUGUGUAAGUAACUAUGCACGUCCUGACGGUACCUAAUCAGAAAGCCACGGCUAACUACGUGCCAGCAGCCGCGGUAAUACGUAGGUGGCAAGCGUUAUCCGGAAUUAUUGGGCGUAAAGCGCGCGUAGGCGGUUUUUUAAGUCUGAUGUGAAAGCCCACGGCUCAACCGUGGAGGGUCAUUGGAAACUGGAAAACUUGAGUGCAGAAGAGGAAAGUGGAAUUCCAUAUGUGGCGGUGAAAUGCGCAGAGAUAUGGGGGAACACCAGUGGCGAAGGCGACUUUCUGGUCUGUAACUGACGCUGAUGUGCGAAAGCGUGGGGAUCAAACAGG